UACAGAGGGUGCAAACGUUGCUCGGAAUUAUUGGGCGUAAAGCGCGUGUAGGCGGCCCGUUAAGUUGGUUGUGAAAUCCCAUGGCUCAACCAUGGAAGUGCAACCAAAACUGGCGGGCUUGAGUCCUGAAGAGAAUGGCGGAAUUCCCAGUGUAGAGGUGAAAUUCGUAGAUAUUGGGAGGAACAUCGGUGGCGAAGGCGGCCAUUUGGGAAGGUACUGACGCUGAGACGCGAAAGCGUGGGGAGCGAACAGG
RNAcentral lists this ribosomal RNA (253 nucleotides) under uncultured bacterium. RNAcentral's name for it is "partial 16S ribosomal RNA". It matches the Rfam family "Bacterial small subunit ribosomal RNA", at positions 524 to 776 of the family's 1533-position model. The record is from RNAcentral.